This 1282-nucleotide ribosomal RNA is filed under the name Gonocephalum sp. MT-2015-Zz052324. Its description in RNAcentral is "16S ribosomal RNA". The stretch from base 1042 to 1200 matches the Rfam family "Archaeal large subunit ribosomal RNA", at positions 2542 to 2701 of the family's 2987-position model. The record is from RNAcentral. Lineage: Eukaryota; Metazoa; Arthropoda; Insecta; Coleoptera; Tenebrionidae.
UUUUAAGGUGUUAUUUUGAUUUUUUGUUAUUUAUUUUUGAAGGAAUAAUGCUUAUUUUUAUUAUUUUUGUUUGAAAAAAUAUUUUUAAUGAUAGUUAAUAGUAUCGAGAGAGAAGUUCUUAAAAAUUUUAAAAGAAGAUUUCAUUUGUUGUACCUUGUGUAUCAGGGUUAAUUAAAUUAUGAGUUAAGUUUAGUUUUUCCCGAAUUCAAAAGAGCUAUAAUAUUAUUUAUUUUACUGUGGAAUAAGUAUUUUUAAUUAUAUUAUGGUAAUGAAACGUUAUUCGUUUUUGAGUAUAUCUGGUUUUCUAAGAAAUUAAUUUAAUUUAGUCGUUAAGUAAAAUUAAUUUAAUUUUUUAAUUUAAUUUUUUUUAUCGAUUAAUACUUAAUGGGAUAAGCUUUUAAGUAAAUUGUUAUAAAUAUUUAUUUUAGAUUGAUUUGUAGGAUUGGAAUUUUCCACCAAUUUAAGGAUGUUUUAAUUUAUCUUUUUAUUAUUUGAUUUAUAUUUAUUUUAACUUUUUUAUUAGGAUUUAUACUUUAAUUUUUUUUGUUUAGUAAUUAUGAUUGAAUUAGUAUAGUUUAUUGUAUACAUAUAUUUGUUGUUUAAGGUUAAUUUAAGGAACUCGGCAAUAUUAAUUUUCACCUGUUUAUUAAAAACAUGUCCUUUUGAUUAAUGAUUUAAGGUCAGGCCUGCCCAAUGAUUAUUUAAAUGGCCGCAGUAUAUUGACUGUGCAAAGGUAGCAUAAUCAUUAGUUUCUUAAUUAGAAGCUGGAAUGAAUGGUCCGAUGAGAAAUUGACUGUCUCAAUUUAAAUGUAUUAGAAUUUUAUUUUUGAGUGAGAAAGCUUAAAUUUUUUAGAAAGACGAGAAGACCCUAUAGAGUUUGAUGUUUAUUUUAAUAAAAUUUUUGAGGUUUAUUAUUAUAUUUUAUUAUUAUAAGUAUUUUGUUGGGGUGACAUAAAAAUUUGAUUAACUUUUUAUUAUUUUUACAUUGAUUAAUGGUUUUUUGAUCCUAUUAUUUAGAUUAUAAGAUAAAAUUACCUUAGGGAUAACAGCGUAAUUUCUUCUGAAAGUUCUUAUUGACGAGGAAGAUUGCGACCUCGAUGUUGGAUUAAAAUUUAUUUUUGGUGUAGCAGCUAAAAUAUUAGGUCUGUUCGACCUUUGAAAUUUUACAUGAUCUGAGUUUAAACCGGUGUGAGCCAGGUUGGCUUCUAUCUUUUAUUAGUUAGAAUAUUUUAGUACGAAAGGACCAAUUAUUCAAAUUAUAUUUUGUUUUUUGAUUAUUAUU